Castor canadensis (American beaver) is the source of this 1750-nucleotide long non-coding RNA. NCBI's taxonomy places the organism in Eukaryota, Metazoa, Chordata, Mammalia, Rodentia, Castoridae. The record is from Ensembl.
CAGCAUACAAAUUUGGAGACAGGGAAGAAUCCCCACUCUCUCCAAGAGGGUCUUGAUUUUUUUUUUUAUUAUUGCUUUGCUCACUUCCCCUUUCAGCAAUGCUUUUUGCCCACCAUCCAAAUACUCCCGAUUACGACAGUGAAGAGUCACACGUUUUCUAUAAAGAUGUCCUUCAUCACUUUCUUCAACGGCCUUACGUUUUUCUAAACAUUUUACCUAGUCUACAACGCAUCUUAGUUAUUGUUCAAUUCUAUGGCUGUAAUGUUUUCAUUAUUGCCCCUGAGAGAUAUGGUUCCUUUUCUAAUUAGAUUUAAGCAUCUUGGAAUCGGAUUCGCCUUUGUCUUCCUCACAGUACACAACGUUGGGUCAUCUAUAAAGUUUAGCUCUGUGAUUCUCAACUGGGUGUAAUUUUUGCCUCCCAGAAGACAUUUGGCAAUGUCUACAGAUAUUUUUGAUUUUCGCAACUUGGCGCAGGGCGGGGUACUACUGGCAUUUAAAGGUACACACCAGAGAUGCUCUUAACCUCUUCCUACAACGCACAGCACUGCCUCCUACAAUAAAGAAUCUUCCGGCUCCAAAUGGCAAUAGUGCUACAUAAGAAACACUGAGUUAGUAGAAUGACCUAGUGAAAGCCAAGCCUCCGAAAGGGCGGAGGACGUUACCAGGUGGAAACGCGAAAUGCACUGGCCGGUGGACCGUAAUUAAGUCAAGAGGCCGGGGACUGGCCGGGGCUUACCCGGUUGUCCUAGACCUGGGCAGGGUGGAGGUAUAAGGCCAACAUCCGCGUCACGCGGAAUCUGGGACGUCCCUCAGAACCCGGAGCGCCCGCCCCCCACUCGCUCCAACCCCUACCUGUAGCGAGACGCCGACAACUGAAACACCCAGUCAGUCGGCGCGCCGGAGACCCGCGCUAAGCCGCAGCUUCACCAAGGAUUCCUGGAGCAGUACUCGCGAUAUCCCGCCGAUGCGCUCUCGCGAGAUAUGGGCGGAUCUUCCGGGCCGUCUCGCGCAGCCGGACGCAUGCGUCGCAGCAUUCCAGACGAAUGCGGGUCGGCCUGGUGGGCGCUGGGAGUGGCGGGAUGGGCUCUGAGCAGUAAAAAGUCUGUCCUGCCUGCUUGCCUGCCUUCGGCUCUCCCCGCCUCUUCUGGUUUCCGCCUUCAGCUGCCUUUGUCAUGUCUAACAUGCCCCCCAAGUAUGAUGUUUUGAGUCAAGAUGAACUGCGCAAAAAGCUGUACCAGACGUUUAAGGAUCGGGGUAUACUGGACACACUUAAGGUAUCAGAUUUAGGCAUGUCUGUGUCAUAACUUUUACAAGUGUAACCUGUAACAAGUAGUUCACGUUUAAAUUCAUACAGAGCUUGGGGUUUAAACAUAGUGAAAUAGAUAAACCAUAUUGGCGAGCUACAUUUUUAUAUGGAAAAUGUUGAGUUUGAGACGUCUUUAAAAAGCAUAUCCAGAUACUAGAUUUAUUGAAUUGACAUUAAGAUAGGAGUGGGUAACAUUUAUGUAGCGAAUACAUUUUAAUAAGUUUAGGCUUGUUUUAUAAGUGUGAUUUACAGGUUCUUGAAUUGAUAAGUGGUUUUGUAGUAUGUUUGGAUGACAAAGGACAUUGACACUAUAUAAAAUAUAUCAAGUAUACUGCUUACUGUAGAACAGAAUAAGGAAUGAAAACUUUUUUCUUUAAAAUACAUUAGAAUGUAUGAGGACUGGAGUUGUGGCUCAAGUGGUAGAGUGCCGCUUUGCAAGCAUGG